RNAcentral lists this ribosomal RNA (492 nucleotides) under uncultured bacterium. Its description in RNAcentral is "partial 16S ribosomal RNA". It matches the Rfam family "Bacterial small subunit ribosomal RNA", at positions 29 to 507 of the family's 1533-position model. The record is from RNAcentral.
AGUGAACGCUGGCGGUAGGCCUAACACAUGCAAGUCGAACGGCAGCACAGUAAGAGCUUGCUCUUACGGGUGGCGAGUGGCGGACGGGUGAGGAAUACAUCGGAAUCUACUUUUUCGUGGGGGAUAACGUAGGGAAACUUACGCUAAUACCGCAUACGACCUACGGGUGAAAGCAGGGGAUCUUCGGACCUUGCGCGAUUGAAUGAGCCGAUGUCGGAUUAGCUAGUUGGCGGGGUAAAGGCCCACCAAGGCGACGAUCCGUAGCUGGUCUGAGAGGAUGAUCAGCAACACUGGAACUGAGAAACGGUCCAGACUCCUACGGGAGGCAGAAGUGGGGAAUAUUGGACAAUGGGCGCAAGCCUGAUCCAGCAAUACCGCGUGGGUGAAGAAGGCCUUCGGGUUGUAAAGCCCUUUUGUUGGGAAAGAAAAGCAGCAGGUUAAUACCCCGCUGUUCUGACGGUACCCAAAGAAUAAGCAACGGCUAACUUCGAG